RNAcentral lists this long non-coding RNA (902 nucleotides) under Crocodylus porosus (Australian saltwater crocodile). Its description in RNAcentral is "lncRNA (ENSCPRG00005016685.1)". Lineage: Eukaryota; Metazoa; Chordata; Crocodylia; Crocodylidae. The record is from RNAcentral.
UUAAGGUUACUGUAUGCAGAACCUAAGCAUGUAAGGAGAUGGAGAUCAGAGCUUCAAUUCACUGUGCUACUUUAGCUAAUAAUGAUCCUGUGGGUCAAGAUUGCAACACUAUUUGGCAAAGAGAGGCACCUUGGAAGAUUUCUCCAUCUGUCAGUUUUGUAUCUACCAACAGAGAUUCUCCUCUUGACAACAGAACCACAAACUGUCACUGAAUUCAUCUGUUUUAUCUUGACAAAGAUGCCUGUUUCUCCUAGUUGCCCAAGACAAACAUGUACCAUAUACAGCCAAACAGAGGAUGUUUACAGAAGAAAAUGCAGCUUAACUGGCAUGAUGGAUUUGAGCUGGGACAGGAAGGACUUCAAAUUCUGCUUGCAGAAUGGGAAGGAAAGGCUUUCAGAAAGUGCCUCGUCUUGGGUACAAGAAUGGCAUCUCCUUCCUCAGUAUUCUGGAAAAUCCUUAUCAGCAUUUGUUCCCCAAAGAAAAUGUGGAAAGGACACUGGCAGGAAUGCCACAAGAUGAGAUUCGGAUGAACAACUCAGGUCAGUGAAGGAAUGGUCAAACCCAGUGAAUAACAUCUACUUUUAGCUAUAUAACCUUGUCUUACACUGUUUAGGGCAAGCCUGUAGAGUUUUAGUUAGGUGGUAGGAGCCGAAAGCACAGGCAAUUGGUAUAUGAAAGUGUCUUCCUGGUAGAAGAGAGGCAGAAGGGAAUUAUCAUCUCUGUUGCCCAAUCCCAUGAGGACUCCAGAAAGCCUGCUGUAUAUAUAGCUCCUUAACUGACAGAAUUUAGUGGGGAAAGCAUGCCGUUGUGAUCCAUGUACUUUUGAAGCAUUUUAUCCUGAUAUUUCUUUAUGUAAUAAUGUUACUUUUAAGAAAAACGUAAUAAAAGGUGUCUAAAUUACA